AGCCGAAGGGAAACCGAGUCUUAAUUGGGCGUUAAGUUGCAGGGUAUAGACCCGAAACCCGGUGAUCUAGCCAUGGGCAGGUUGAAGGUUGGGUAACACUAACUGGAGGACCGAACCGACUAAUGUUGAAAAAUUAGCGGAUGACCUGUGGCUGGGGGUGAAAGGCCAAUCAAACCGGGAGAUAGCUGGUUCUCCCCGAAAGCUAUUUAGGUAGCGCCUCGUGAACUCAUCUCCGGGGGUAGAGCACUGUUUCGGCUAGGGGGCCAUCCCGGCUUACCAACCCGAUGCAAACUGCGAAUACCGGAGAAUGUUAUCACGGGAGACACACGGCGGGUGCUAACGUCCGUCGUGAAGAGGGAAACAACCCAGACCGCCAGCUAAGGUCCCAAAGUCAUGGUUAAGUGGGAAACGAUGUGGGAAGGCCCAGACAGCCAGGAUGUUGGCUUAGAAGCAGCCAUCAUUUAAAGAAAGCGUAAUAGCUCACUGGUCGAGUCGGCCUGCGCGGAAGAUGUAACGGGGCUAAACCAUGCACCGAAGCUGCGGCAGCGACACUUUAGUGUUGUUGGGUAGGGGAGCGUUCUGUAAGCCGUUGAAGGUGUCCUGUGAGGGGUGCUGGAGGUAUCAGAAGUGCGAAUGCUGACAUAAGUAACGAUAAAGCGGGUGAAAAGCCCGCUCGCCGGAAGACCAAGGGUUCCUGUCCAACGUUAAUCGGGGCAGGGUGAGUCGACCCCUAAGGCGAGGCCGAAAGGCGUAGUCGAUGGGAAACGGGUUAAUAUUCCCGUACUUGGUGUUACUGCGAAGGGGGGACGGAGAAGGCUAUGUUGGCCGGGCGACGGUAGUCCCGGUUUAAGCGUGUAGGCUGGUUUUCCAGGCAAAUCCGGAAAAUCAAGGCUGAGGCGUGAUGACGAGGCACCACGGUGCUGAAGCAACAAAUGCCCUGCUUCCAGGAAAAGCCUCUAAGCAUCAGGUAACAUCAAAUCGUACCCCAAACCGACACAGGUGGUCAGGUAGAGAAUACCAAGGCGCUUGAGAGAACUCGGGUGAAGGAACUAGGCAAAAUGGUGCCGUAACUUCGGGAGAAGGCACGCUGACACGUAGGUGAAGUGAUUUACUCAUGGAGCUGAAGUCAGUCGAAGAUACCAGCUGGCUGCAACUGUUUAUUAAAAACACAGCACUGUGCAAACACGAAAGUGGACGUAUACGGUGUGACGCCUGCCCGGUGCCGGAAGGUUAAUUGAUGGGGUCAGCGCAAGCGAAGCUCCUGAUCGAAGCCCCGGUAAACGGCGGCCGUAACUAUAACGGUCCUAAGGUAGCGAAAUUCCUUGUCGGGUAAGUUCCGACCUGCACGAAUGGCGUAAUGAUGGCCAGGCUGUCUCCACCCGAGACUCAGUGAAAUUGAACUCGCUGUGAAGAUGCAGUGUACCCGCGGCAAGACGGAAAGACCCCGUGAACCUUUACUAUAGCUUGACACUGAACAUUGAGCCUUGAUGUGUAGGAUAGGUGGGAGGCUUUGAAGCGUGGACGCCAGUCUGCGUGGAGCCGACCUUGAAAUACCACCCUUUAAUGUUUGAUGUUCUAACGUGGACCCGUAAUCCGGGUUGCGGACAGUGUCUGGUGGGUAGUUUGACUGGGGCGGUCUCCUCCUAAAGAGUAACGGAGGAGCACGAAGGUUGGCUAAUCCUGGUCGGACAUCAGGAGGUUAGUGCAAUGGCAUAAGCCAGCUUGACUGCGAGCGUGACGGCGCGAGCAGGUGCGAAAGCAGGUCAUAGUGAUCCGGUGGUUCUGAAUGGAAGGGCCAUCGCUCAACGGAUAAAAGGUACUCCGGGGAUAACAGGCUGAUACCGCCCAAGAGUUCAUAUCGACGGCGGUGUUUGGCACCUCGAUGUCGGCUCAUCACAUCCUGGGGCUGAAGUAGGUCCCAAGGGUAUGGCUGUUCGCCAUUUAAAGUGGUACGCGAGCUGGGUUUAGAACGUCGUGAGACAGUUCGGUCC
RNAcentral lists this ribosomal RNA (1991 nucleotides) under Salmonella enterica subsp. diarizonae. RNAcentral describes it as "partial 23S ribosomal RNA". It matches the Rfam family "Bacterial large subunit ribosomal RNA", at positions 664 to 2637 of the family's 2925-position model. Lineage: Bacteria; Pseudomonadati; Pseudomonadota; Gammaproteobacteria; Enterobacterales; Enterobacteriaceae. The record is from RNAcentral.